ACACACAAAUAUGUGUGUAUAUAUGUAUGUAUACACACGCAUGUAUAUAUAUGUGUGUAUAGACACACACAUAUAUGUGUAUAUGUGUCUAUAUACACACAUGUGUAUGUGUGUGUAUAUAUAUAUUCUAUAUAUUAUAUAUAUAUGUACAUAUAUAUUCUAUAUAUUUUAUAUAUGUACAUAUAUAUUGUAUAUAUAAAAUAUAUAUACAUAUAUAUUUAUAUGUAUUAGACAAUAUACAUUUAUAUGUAUACAAGACUGUAUUAGACAAUAUAUAUAUUGUCUAUAGACAAUAUAUAUAUUGUCUAAUACAUAUAAAUACAUUAUUUUAGACAUAUUAUAUGUCUAAUACAUAUAAAUACAUAGACAUAUGUAUUAUAUGUCUAAUACAUAUAAAUAUAUAUACAUAUAUAUUUAUAUAUAUGUAUAUACA
Molecule: long non-coding RNA, 433 nt
Filed under: Lynx pardinus (Iberian lynx)
Lineage: Eukaryota; Metazoa; Chordata; Mammalia; Carnivora; Felidae
Source: RNAcentral